RNAcentral lists this small RNA (423 nucleotides) under Tatumella morbirosei. RNAcentral describes it as "cspA thermoregulator". It matches the Rfam family "cspA thermoregulator". The record is from Rfam by way of RNAcentral. Lineage: Bacteria; Pseudomonadati; Pseudomonadota; Gammaproteobacteria; Enterobacterales; Erwiniaceae.
UUAAGAUUGCAGUUUUAGCUAUCGUUGUUGUGCAAAAAGUGCCCUGUUGUGAAAAAAUUGGGACAUUUAUCACUUUUUCUUUAAAUGGCGCUGGACAAAUUGCACCGGAAUUGAUGUACUGGAUGCCGACACAGUUUAGUGUCCAUUUUUCAUGUAAAGGUAAUAAGAUGUCCAAGAUUAAAGGUAACGUUAAGUGGUUUAAUGAAUCUAAAGGAUUCGGUUUCAUUACUCCUGAAGAUGGCAGCAAAGAUGUAUUCGUACACUUCUCUGCAAUCGUGAGCAAUGGCUUCAAAACUCUGGCUGAAGGUCAGCGUGUAGAGUUUGAAAUUACUGACGGUGCUAAAGGCCCAUCUGCUGCUAACGUUAUCAGCCUGUAAUUUUCAGUCAGAAUCUCUAAAACCCGCCACUGGCGGGUUUUUUAUU